This 352-nucleotide unclassified non-coding RNA is filed under the name soil metagenome. Its description in RNAcentral is "partial contains 5.8S ribosomal RNA, internal transcribed spacer 2, and large subunit ribosomal RNA". The stretch from base 1 to 120 matches the Rfam family "5.8S ribosomal RNA", at positions 35 to 154 of the family's 154-position model. The record is from RNAcentral.
GAUGAAGAACGUAGCGAAAUGCGAUAAGUAAUGUGAAUUGCAGAAUUCAGUGAAUCAUCGAAUCUUUGAACGCACAUUGCGCCCGCCAGUAUUCUGGCGGGCAUGCCUGUUCGAGCGUCAUUACAACCCUCAGGCCCCCGGGCCUGGCGUUGGGGAUCGGCGGAGCCCCCCGUGGGCACACGCCGUCCCCCAAAUGCAGUGGCGGUCCCGCCGCAGCUUCCAUCGCGUAGUAGCUAACACCUCGCGACUGGAGAGCGGCGCGGCCACGCCGUAAAACACCCAACUCUUCUGAAGUUGACCUCGAAUCAGGUAGGAAUACUCGCUGAACUUAAGCAUAUCAAUAAGCGGAGGA